Amborella trichopoda is the source of this 6576-nucleotide non-coding RNA. NCBI's taxonomy places the organism in Eukaryota, Viridiplantae, Streptophyta, Magnoliopsida, Amborellales, Amborellaceae. The record is from RefSeq and is a predicted model, not a curated record.
AUACGGUACCCCAUCGUUAGGGUUUCUUCUCUAAACAAAGGACAUUAUCAUUAAGGGUUUCUUCUCUAUAACAUCCGUCGCCAUUUCUCUGUCACAAAACCCUCCCACAAGCUUGCUUAACUAGCAAAACUAUUCUCUAUAACAUCCUUCACCAUUCUCUAUGUCACAAAAACCCCCACAAUUUCGAACUUAACAAGCAAAAGUAUUCUCUACAACAUCCGUCGCUAUUUCUCUAUGUCACAAAACCCCCACAAACGCGAAAUUAGGUGGCAAAACCAGAGCAAAUAAAUUCGAGUCAUUCCUCGCCAUUUCUCUGUGCCACAAAAACCCAACAAACUCAGCACAAAAACCCGACAAACUCCAACUUAGCUAGCACAACCUAUCACAGAGGAAUCAAAUUGAUGACUAUAAGAAGGAGUAGCAUUGAUGACUAUAAGUUCGGUGAAAUAUCCUUUCGAAUAAACCAAGGGCCGCACCAUUACAUUAGGAGUCGCCCAAAGAGUCUACCAAGCAACCUCGCCUAUCUCUCUCUAAACAAGUGUAAUUGAAGCACAAUCGCUCCAAACAGGUACGCCCAUUCCAUUCCCUGCUUUUUAGGCUUUUUGCGAGCAUAUUUUUUUUUUGGCCAAAGCCUAGAUUUCUCUCUCAUCUCUCAAUUAUUUUUUUUAUGAUUUUUUAGUCUUGUCGAAGUUCUUCGAAUCCCAUAUAGAAACCCUAAAUUUAUCUUUAGUUUUCUUGCUCAAAUCUAUGCAUUUUCAUGGCUUAACAGAGGGACCUGUGAAGAACCUAUAAAAUCGGCCAAAUUUGAGAUAUCUCUCUCAUUUCUUAGUUUAUUUAUUUAUUUUUGGUGGUUGUUGAAGAUCUUUGAAGCCCCAUAAAAACCUUAAAUUUUUUUUUUCUCUGUCUCAUCUUUCUGUUAUGCUUUUUGAUUUUUUACUCUUUCUUUAAAUUGUGAUUUUUUAUUUAUUGUUAUCACUGUUUUAUUUAUCUCUCUGUUAUCAAUGUUUCUUUUUGUUGAAUAACAUUUGUAGUUUCUAAGAAGUACAAUGUUGAUUAUUUAUUAUUUAUAUACUCCCGUGUUUUUCAUUUUUGGUGGUUUAUGAAAGAAGGUGUUCCCAUAGAAUGCGUUUUGGAAUGUUAAUUUUAUGAUAUUACUCUGCUCAUGUAGUCAACUAUUGGCUACUAGAUUGUAGUUUUUCUCCACCAUUUAUUGUGUCUCUGCCAAAUGUUACUCAUUUAUUUCUUAAAAUCAGCUGUUAAAAAGAUUUUCUUGUAACCUAUCUGUACCAUGCUUCCAGCAACAUAUGAGUAACUUGGUAUUAAUAUAUAACAUCUUGGAAGCUAUUUGUACCAUACUAUGGAGUUGCUCAAUUUACCUUUCAAAAAUUUUGUUGCAAAGAAUCCGUUGGUAGUGCAGAUGGUUUGGUUUAGGUUGUUGGUAUGUGUCAAAUGUUAUUUUUGAUGUGAAAGAUGGAUGUAAAUGGCUUAUCUCUAAUUUACGUGGCCCUAAUGCAACAUCUGAAUGGAGUGAAUUUUGGAAUGCACUUUCACAUGCUUAUAAUGAGUUUUGGAAUGAGCUUUGUACAUCUCUCUAUUAUGUUUUUUGAGAAUUUUGGAUUGAAUUCUUUGGGCUCAGAAUUGUGCUCUUAGAUGCGAAGGUAUGAUUGUAUUUCUCUUUUAUGCUACUGUUGUGGUGUAUUUUUAUUGCUUUUUUUUUUUUGAUACUGUUGUGUUCUUUUUGGUUAGCAAAAUGUCUAAUGUUAAAGAAAAUUCUAAGCAAAUUACCACUGUAGAAGACAUUUCAUCUAGAAUCUCCAAACGUAAAAAUGUUUCUUCUGUUUGGGAAGGAUUUGAUAAAAUCACUAAAGAAGAUAGUUCUGUAAAAGCAAGGUGUAUGCAUUGUUGAAUUCAACUAACAAGAGGUAGUUCAAGUGAGAUAAGUCAUUCACAUAACCAUUUAAGAUGUCCAAGGAGAAUGCAUGCAACUUUAGGCCAACAAUUAUUAGCAACAUCAUUUAAGAAAGGGGAGGGGGUUUAGCAAAUUUUAAAUUUGAUCAAGAAAGAAGUAGGAAUGAUAUUGCAAAAAUGAUCAUCCUACAUAAAUACCAAUUCUCAAUUGUGCAACCCACAAGAUUUAGAAAUUUUGUGAAAAAUCUUCUACCAUUGUUUAAGAUGGUUUCUCACUCCACAAUAAAAUCAAGUAUUAUGGGAAUUUACAAGAGUGAGAAAAGAAACUUGCGGAGUUAAAGAAAAUUCCAAUUUGAGUGAGUCUCACCAUGGACAUGCAAUCUUCAUGUUGGAAUCAGGGGUAUUUGUGCUUAACUGCACAUUAUAUCAAUGAAUCAUGAAAAUUAUAGAAAUGAAGCCUUAGUUUCGUAUAUGUACCAUCUUCUCAUACAGGGGAGGUCAUUGCUACAACGCUUUUGGAUCUUUUAAUGCAUUGGAAGCUUGAAAAAAAGUUGUUUACAGUUACUCUUGAUAAUGCAACAUAUAACGGUGUUGCAACAUCAUCCCUCAAGAGACAAUUGUCUCGAAAUUUGUAACUUGUCCUCGACGGUAAGAUGUUUCAUGUGCAAUGUUGUGCACAUAUUUUGAACCUUAUUGUGCAAGAUGGGUUAUAAACAAUAGCUUUGAGAGGGUAUCAAGUUUAUCAAGGCCUCACAAGCUAGGCAUGAAAGGUUUAAUGAAACAAUUAGCCUACUCCGAAUAGAAAGUAAAAAAAAAUAUAUGCCUUGAUGUUCCACCUCGGUGGAAUUCGACUUAUAAAAUGUUAGAUGUGGUCCUAGCAUUAAAGGAGGCAUUUCAUCGUUUUUGUACAAUAUGAAUUUUCGCCCAAUUUGGUACCAUUUGAUCGUGAAUAGGAGAGUGCAAAAGAAAUAUGUGAUUGUCUGAAACUUUUUUAUGAUGUAACAUGUAGAUUUUAAUGAAAUGGAGCAUGAGCUCUAAGGAACAUAUAGGUUCUAUGACAAUCAAAAUGAAAGGUAAAAUUUGAUAAGUAUUGGAAGAUUUGUUCUUUGGUUUUGGCUUAUAACAGUUGUGGUUUAUCCUUGAUAUAAACUCCUGCUUGUGAAGUUCUACUACUUAAAAAUUUAUGCAGAGCACCAGGUAAGUAUAGUUCGGAUUGGGAUUUAUGAUCUAUAUGCAAACUAGGAAAGUAAUAAUGCAUUACCUGGUAGCUCUGGGAGUACUUUGGAUAGUGGAGUGAGAGAGAGAAAGAAAUUGGACUCUAUUGCUAAGUUGAUAGGGGGAUUUUUAAACUUGCAUUGAUGAGAACUCAGGCAAUUUAUCUAGAAAGUAUGAGUUGGACAUGUACUUAGAGGAAACUGUUUUCCAAUUUGAUCAAAACUUCAACAUCCUAAAUUGGUGGCACUGUAUGAUGUGUUUUUAAUUUGAUGGAAGUAAUUUCUUUUAGUUGAGAAUGAUGAAAUUCUGUGGAUGUUUAUUUUUAAUUUGAUGGAGGUAAGGAUAUGGGUUUAUUUUAUUUGAGAAUGAUGAAAUUCUAUGGAUAUUUAUUUUUAAUUUGAUGGAUGUAAGGAUAUGGGGUUUCUUUUAUUUGAGAAUGAUGUAUAUAUAGUUAUUUGAAUUCUAAAGAUGUUUAUUUUUAAUUUGAUGAAAUGUUAGAGGGUUCAACAUUUUAAGAUUUAUGUAAUAAGGGCUUCCCUUUUUUAUUCAAAUCAUAUAUUCAUAUGAGCUUUUUUUUUUAUUCAUCGCUUUUUCUUACCAUAAUUACAUACUAUUAUUCCCUAAUUUUGAUUGCUGCGGGUCUCCAAAAAAUCAAUACUACCCUUGCCGAUAAAAAAAAGUAACACUAAAACCGAAAUGAACUCAAAUAGAUGUUUAACACUGAAAAUAAGGGGAAUCCAUAUGUUGACUAUGGUAGUCUCAUGUGACCACCAAAUGUUUUGCUUUUUAAAAGAGGGCGUGGAAAAUUUAAGAUUAGAAUUCAAAUGGAAGUAAAUCCAGAUCUAGAUCCAGAUCCUAUAUAAAAUUUCGAAUUCAGAUAUGAAUCCAGAUCCAAAGUAUACUAUGGAUCUAGAUCCGGAUCUGGGUGGAUCCGAAACGGAUCCAAAAAAUUCUCACCCCCUUAACUAGGACAGGGUUGACCAAGUCUGUUGCAAGCCUAUUUGAGCAGGUUCCUAACAGCCAGCACCACUUUUAUUUUUAUCAUGUGAAACAUGUACGGUAGGGUAGUGCUUACCAGAGAAAAUUUUAUGCUCCUACAAGAGCAAACUGUCUCUUUGUUCAAUCAGCCAAAGCACAAGCUAGGGAUGUUUUUCUGCUCUCAACUUUUUGGGAUGUAAUCUAUAGAACCUAGGGACCAAUCUCAAAGAAAACAAAAAUUAAUUCACCCUCUAUUUCUCUAAAUAAGGUGAUAUCCUAAGAUUGAACAAGAACUGACUAAUUUUUUGAGGGAAAGUUCUAGAUGUUCUAGAACUCAAAAAAAACUUUUGUUUUGUUCUUGAAAAUAACGAUCUAAUGAUACUUAAUAGAUCCCAAAAUUAUGGAUCAAUAAAUUCUCCUAGGAAUCUGUUUUGUGGUUUGCUUCAAGUACAAUAUACUCCCAUAGAAGCAUGCUAUAUGCGUUCAACAUUUAACAUGUACAAGAGGCUAGUGCUUACUAUGUUAACCAUCCAAUACGUGCAAGAGAGUAGCACUUACUAUGUAAACAUUCAAUAUAUUUGUUCAGGCCUUGUAUAUACAUAUAACCCUCACUAUGUACACUUUAAAAAAUGGUGGCAAGUUAUAUCUCAGAUAAAUGAUAUUUUAAGUUUUAUUUGUUGGAGGUGGAAUCAUUAUCCAUAAUGUUAUUUCCGAUCUUCCAAAUGAUUUUAAUUAGCACCAAUGUACUGGUUUUUUAUCUCCUUUGAUUCUUUUCAUGUCGAAUUACCCAUUUGAUGGUGGUGAGGGAGACUUUCCACAUCUUGUUGUAGGUACUUGUGAGUUUCAUCUUCAACAACUUUGUUGCAGACUAGGGCUUGACCCAACCAAUAUUUUAAAACCCGACGAUUUUGCUGAUUCGAAUGUGGAAUCCAUCAGGACCGAAUCGGUUUCUGAAUGGUAUGGGUCCGUGCCCUGUUCCCCCUAAAACCCCCAUUUUUAAUUUUUAAUUUUUAAUUUUAUUUUUCUCUAAGCUUAUCUAAUGUUUUCAACGGUCCCCCUGAAUCCCCACAUCAUAAACCUCUAUUUUAAUUAUUAUUUUACGUCAUUUAUUUUUAGUUUUUUUUGAAUCAUCGAUUAUGACGAUUCAAGAGCGAACUAUAGAAAAUCACCAAAUGAUAGUUUGCGAUUUUCUUUGUACAAACUAGCAAGUAUUAAAACCCAUGAAGCCAUAGGGUAGAUAGGUUUCUUCUAUAUGGCCAUUAGUGCAUUGUUUUUAUUCGCUACUCUAUAAUUACUUCAUUGGCACUAAGUAAGGUAAGUUUUCCAUUAUUAUUGGGCUCCAAAUGAGAACAUCCGCCUUUCCCAUUACUAAGAACCCAGAGGCUAUGUCUUUUAAUAAAUAGAACAAUUUUCUUAAUACACUUUCAAGUGAUGUUUCUAAAGGUAUUUUUUUCCUAAUGAGAUCUAAACCCAUGCUAUAUUUCACUUACCAAAUCCUAUCCAAAUUUGGCAAGAAGAGACUUAUUGACCUCCUUGUCUUUUUCCUUCUUAAAAAACUUCUCAAACUAUUUUCAACAAUAUUAAAAUGGAUGAAAACUUUUUAAAACCAAAUUUGAAAUGACAAUAUCAGACGAUAAUAGCAGGCUCAAAGGAAUUCAGACUUAUGAUUAACAGGGCGUGCUUGAUAAAAAACAGUAAGGUAAAUAAAGAACUUACCUAUUACUGUCCAUGUUCCCAACUUUGUGUGUAAAAAACUUCCCCCCCCCUAUCGAUCAAAAGCUUUGUGCCCUAAACUUCUGCGCACUCAGCCGCUCAGCCACCCCUCUCUUCGCACUCAGCCGCUCAGCCAGACCCGUCUCUUCUCUGUGAACCCUAAGCCGCUUCCUCUCUGACAAAGCUCUCUCUCUCUUCUUUGGAAGAUUUGCCAGACCCCUCUCUUCUCUGUUAACCCUAGCUGCUUCCUCUGCGAGCAAAAGCUUGAGGAACCAGUGCGAGCAAGAGGAACCAGUGCGAGCAAGAGCAGCAACCUCUCAAUCAUCAGUCUCUCUCAAACCUUUUCUUCAUUUGCAACAAGAGAUAAAUGGGGAAAAGGCUAAGCAAGGGCAAAGUAUACAAGGAGCAAUUAUAGAGAGAAAGGCAUGUUGUUUGAACUUUUCAUGGAGAGAAAGAAUUGGGAUCAAUUUUGAUUUUAUGGGUUUUUUAGAUUGAUUGAAGUGUUGACCGUGAGAAAGACCUUGCUUAUAAAUAUAUUCUGGUGUGGCAGUAAUAUGUUUUUCUCUCGCUAGGACUUAGUUAAUUGUAGAUUGAUGUGUGACUUUGUCGCAGUAGAAAGAGAAAAUCAAGGACUUGUUUACUUUGACAAUUGAAGAGAACCGUUGUCGUAGGGGAGGGUUAGACAGAAAUUCAUGACCUUUUUAAAUAGAUGAUUGAAGAGAAGAGUGUUGGAGUUUAAAAAGACUAUGGUUGGUUUGCUAA